Long non-coding RNA from Syngnathus typhle (broad-nosed pipefish), 2601 nucleotides. RefSeq lists it as uncharacterized. NCBI's taxonomy places the organism in Eukaryota, Metazoa, Chordata, Actinopteri, Syngnathiformes, Syngnathidae. The record is from RefSeq and is a predicted model, not a curated record. The transcript has 3 exons.
UUUGCAGAGCAGCAUUCCACGGCAGGCGGGCCUUGGCCAAGAUUUCGCCGUGCACUCUCUUUUUCACAGGUGACAGGCGGCGACGCUUGGAGUAGCAAACUUACACAAGUCACUACGAGCUCGCUUCAGUGGUUAACUUGCUGCCGGCAAAGUGUGGGUGUGUGCCUUCCUUUCAUUCCUGCAUCCUGGAGACAAGCUAAGGCUUGAGCGGACACAUCAACGCGUCUACGAUCUGAUUAUGUAACAGCAAGCCGCUUUCACGUAUUUGAUUUAAUUAAGUGAGCUGCAUUUGUUUGCAUGGAUAAGUUUCACAGCCAUGCGCAUCACCUGCACAUCUGCCCAAAUUGCUUCUUCAUUUGGGCUCUUUUUUAUUUUAUUAUUACAUGCGGCGGUGCUCAACAAGAAUGUUCCAGCACCUUCCCUGCCUAAGAGGGAUUUUUGUGGUUGGUUGUUUUCUUUCUACAGUCUGACAGAAAUCAUCACGUCAAAUUUCAUUCCUCAGAAGUGAUGUUGAAUGCCUUGUUGGGGUGUGGCCGCAUACGCAAGAUUGUGUUCAGGAAUGAAAAGAGCAGGAACGUUGACAAUGACUGACUUCUAUGGCAGCAAGUGCAAAACUUUGAGUAAAAGGUGGCCUGAGUGCCGUUGAAGCAAAUUUCAGCUUAUGGCGGGUGCAUUGUCGCUGGCCGCGGGCCAGGUGAGCAGAAGACGAGCCGGUUUUGCUUGGGUGUGUCCCUACGGUGGCUUUAGCUCAGCCCGCCGACACAUCUGUAAAAAUCCAGAUGAAUGUUCAUCCAUCCCGACAAGGGUUGCAAAUUUCCUUAACCUGUCCUAACAUGAAUAAAGCUCAAGUUGUGUUUCUAAGCGUGUAAGUUCCGUUUUGCCAUUCAUGGACCGCGUUUGUCGAGUUACUGCACUUUGUAGUCUGUGGGAGAACUCGGGGUCAUUUUUUCUUUACUUCGCAACUCGGACCUUCCAGUUCAAAAGAGUGUUCUCGUGCACUUUUCUUAGUUGGAAGUUGGACAAGUCGGACUCCCCACUUCCCUCGAUUGCAGAUUUAGUUCCCGGUCUUGAGUUUUUUUUCCUUGUGAUGGUUUUGUACUUUUUGUUUAUUUUUUGGCUUCUCUUUGAAAUUUCUUUUUUGAGUUGCACACCAGCCUCAUUGAUUUGAUGAACAAUUGCAGCCGUAGCAGGCAGAAUAAUGAAAGUGAGUGCUGUGUACCUGUGUGUGCGUGUGUGUAUUUAUGUGUGCGUGCAUGCGUGCGUGUGUGAGGGAGUAGGAGAUGGCCUUCGAGACAAAGCCCAAACUUAUUCAUUGCUUAGGGCACUUUCAUCAAAGUUGAAAGCAGUCUGUGUGUGACUCGCUGGGGUGAAACUGAGAGCCUCUGUGCUCACCGUUGCCAUGGAGACGAUUUUGCCACCCAUCAUUGCAAAAAAAAUGCAAUAAAUGGUCAUUUUGAAAGUUGUAGGCUACAGUUUGUAAGGCGAAUGUACAUUGGAAAUGUGCCAAGUGUGUUGAGUACAGGUGAACCGUCAUUUUGCCAACAGCUAAUCCUGUGGCAGUGCCACACCUGAGCGCCUGCUCAGCUGACAUGGAUAUGCCUCCUGGGAUGUGCAGAGGGGGAGGGCGAGCUCAAAUGAAAAGAGAAGGAUACCUGAGCUCGGACAGCUCUAUGGUCCGAUUGAAACUACAGAUACUGCAGCAACUUCACGCACACGGGUGGGAAUAAUCAAUCGAGCCACGCAAAAUAGGUUUGCAUUUCAUCCGAAACACUCGUUGUGGACUUGACACUGCCUCCCAUGAUAUGAUUGACGCUUCUUUUAAUCACACUCCUUGUUCAAUUCAAUAUUUGAAGAGCUUGGACAUGUUUGUCAUAAUCAUUUAUCCUCAUUCUAAUUUGAAGGUGUGGCCACGUUCUGUUUUAAGCACCAAGAAUGCCAGCUCAGCAAUGUGCUAUAUGGGUGUAGUUGGCAGAUAACACACCAGUUCAUUUAUGCCCAGCUGCCCAGCCCAGUCCAUCACAUUUACUUUUACAGUAAUCGAGGAGGAGGACGUUUGAUAAACAUGAGAGAUGAGAACUGAGCGAACAAACAAAGAUGACGAUUCAAAGGACAUAUGAGUACAUAUGAGAGGAGCCCAGAGAUAAUUCAGCAGGCCUACUUCAGCAGGGAUCAAGUCCUCGGCAACAAAUUGUUGGGUAAAUGCAAAACUCCAGUUCAGGCUCCUUAAUUGUGUCACUGUCACUGUUGGAAUCUCAAGGUCACACAUUCUCGGGCAUGAAGACCAGUUGCAGUCACCGACACGCCCAUAAUAGCGACGUCUCGCUCAAUACAUUCGAAUCAUUGUGUCGCAUAACAUUGUAACGAUCCAGAAGAAAUACUCUCGCAUGGUGACAAUGGACGUGUCUGAAACGAUGCAAGGACGUGCGUGAAUUAUGUGAUGGUUUGUCGCCCCCGUGCGGCCGAAUAGUCUAAGCGCCCCCUCUAUUGUCUUUCUAAACCAGUAACUACUAGGGGUGUAAAUCGCAGGUUUUUUCCACGAUACGAUAUCAUAUCGAAACAAAGAACUACGAUACGAUAUUUGCCGAUAUCUUAAAGCCUGCU